Molecule: non-coding RNA, 29 nt
Filed under: Mus musculus (house mouse)
Lineage: Eukaryota; Metazoa; Chordata; Mammalia; Rodentia; Muridae
Source: RNAcentral
UGGCAAGACACACCAAUAGGCACAAAAGG